Molecule: ribosomal RNA, 254 nt
Filed under: uncultured bacterium
Lineage: Bacteria
Description: partial 16S ribosomal RNA
Rfam family: Bacterial small subunit ribosomal RNA
Source: RNAcentral
UACGUAGGCAGCAAGCGUUGUUCGGAGUUACUGGGCGUAAAGGGUGUGUAGGCGGUUAUUUAAGUUUGGUGUGAAAUCUCCCGGCUCAACCGGGAGGGUGCGCCGAAUACUGAAUGACUUGGAGUGCGGGAGAGGAAAGUGGAAUUCCUGGUGUAGCGGUGAAAUGCGUAGAUAUCAGGAGGAACACCGGUGGUGUAGACGGCUUUCUGGACCGUAACUGACGCUGAGACACGAAAGCGUAGGUAGCAAACAGG